GGUGAGAUGGCCGAGUGGUUAUGGCGCUGCGUUCAGGCGAACCCUGGAUUCAAAUUUCGCAGUGGAGCAAUCCGCGUGGGUUCGAGUCCCACUCUCAUCA
This 100-nucleotide transfer RNA is filed under the name Xylaria grammica. It matches the Rfam family "tRNA". Rfam says of the family: Transfer RNA (tRNA) molecules are approximately 80 nucleotides in length. The record is from Rfam by way of RNAcentral. Lineage: Eukaryota; Fungi; Ascomycota; Sordariomycetes; Xylariales; Xylariaceae. RNAcentral also lists the same sequence under 1 other name.